UUCUCUUUGCCUCUUUAUACCCAUGGCUUGAAAACCUCCUUGGGUAUCUUUCUCUGACUUCGGGUGAGGGACGUGAUGACACAUAUUUCCUGAUCAUGACAUCUUUAAGAUCUUCCCAGUUGGUGACAACCGCUUCUGGACUUUUACCAUGUGUCUUAUCUACUCUUUUCCACCAUGAGUAAGCUUUUCCGGAGAGUUGCUUGAUGGCAUGAGCUAGCCUCUCC
RNAcentral lists this long non-coding RNA (224 nucleotides) under Brassica rapa (field mustard). Its description in RNAcentral is "long non-coding RNA (BRAP_LNC001278)". Lineage: Eukaryota; Viridiplantae; Streptophyta; Magnoliopsida; Brassicales; Brassicaceae. The record is from RNAcentral.